This 75-nucleotide transfer RNA is filed under the name Chromatiales bacterium. Its description in RNAcentral is "tRNA-Gln". It matches the Rfam family "tRNA". From Rfam's summary of the family: Transfer RNA (tRNA) molecules are approximately 80 nucleotides in length. Their secondary structure includes four short double-helical elements and three loops (D, anti-codon, and T loops). The record is from RNAcentral. Lineage: Bacteria; Pseudomonadati; Pseudomonadota; Gammaproteobacteria; Chromatiales. RNAcentral also lists the same sequence under 1 other name.
UGGGGCGUAGCCAAGCGGUAAGGCAGCGGGUUUUGAUCCCGUCAUGCGUAGGUUCGAAUCCUUCCGCCCCAGCCA